GUCUACGGCCAUACCACCCUGAACGCGCCCGAUCUCGUCUGAUCUCGGAAGCUAAGCAGGGUCGGGCCUGGUUAGUACUUGGAUGGGAGGAAAGGGCAGGAUAGCACGAUGUGGGGG
RNAcentral lists this ribosomal RNA (117 nucleotides) under Neogale vison (American mink). The record is from RNAcentral. Lineage: Eukaryota; Metazoa; Chordata; Mammalia; Carnivora; Mustelidae.